Molecule: ribosomal RNA, 392 nt
Filed under: Arthrobacter sp. AZTITEMP5
Lineage: Bacteria; Bacillati; Actinomycetota; Actinomycetes; Micrococcales; Micrococcaceae
Description: bacterial SSU rRNA
Rfam family: Bacterial small subunit ribosomal RNA
Source: RNAcentral
GGAGCAUGUGGUUUAAUUCGAUGCAACGCGAAGAACCUUACCAAGGCUUGACAUGAACUGGAAAUACCUGGAAACAGGUGCCCCGCUUGCGGUCGGUUUACAGGUGGUGCAUGGUUGUCGUCAGCUCGUGUCGUGAGAUGUUGGGUUAAGUCCCGCAACGAGCGCAACCCUCGUUCUAUGUUGCCAGCACGUUAUGGUGGGGACUCAUAGGAGACUGCCGGGGUCAACUCGGAGGAAGGUGAGGACGACGUCAAAUCAUCAUGCCCCUUAUGUCUUGGGCUUCACGCAUGCUACAAUGGCCGGUACAAUGGGUUGCGAUACUGUGAGGUGGAGCUAAUCCCAAAAAGCCGGUCUCAGUUCGGAUUGGGGUCUGCAACUCGACCCCANGAAGU